ACAAUGGAGAGUUUGAUCCUGGCUCAGGACGAACGCUGGCGGCGUGCUUAAUACAUGCAAGUCAACUUGACUUUAGGUAGCAAUAUCGAAAAGUAGGGUGGCGCACGGGUGCGUAACGCGUAGGUAAUCUGCCCUAAGGUCUGGCAUAACCUAUCGAAAGGUAGGCUAACAUCAGAUGAUAUAUAAUCACGACAUCGUGGAAAUAUCAAAUCUUCGGAGCCUUGGGAUGAGCCUGCGUCUGAUUAGGUAGUUGGCGGAGUAAUAGCCCACCAAGCCUACGAUCAGUAGCUGGUCUGAGAGG
Molecule: ribosomal RNA, 301 nt
Filed under: Bacteroidota bacterium
Lineage: Bacteria; Pseudomonadati; Bacteroidota
Description: Bacteroidetes bacterium (activated sludge metagenome) partial 16S ribosomal RNA
Rfam family: Bacterial small subunit ribosomal RNA
Source: RNAcentral